GUCGGAUAUUCUGGUCUGAUCUCAUUGAUUGUCAUUUUCAUUUUGGUACUUGGAAGAUAAUUCACAUGCAUCAUCUUAUUUCAAUUAUUUACACUCCCUCAUGAUAUUAGUUGCCUCUCUAAACAUUUUUCUUUAAUAUAUUAGCAUGUCAUGGAAUAGUAAUAUAUAAUCUUCUAAACUUGAUCUAGUACAUGUCUAAUACCCAAUGGUUUUAAUCUUGGCAGAUGACUAUCAAUUACAUGAAU
RNAcentral lists this unclassified non-coding RNA (245 nucleotides) under Hevea brasiliensis (rubber tree). Lineage: Eukaryota; Viridiplantae; Streptophyta; Magnoliopsida; Malpighiales; Euphorbiaceae. The record is from RNAcentral.